This 1340-nucleotide ribosomal RNA is filed under the name Mycobacterium sp. DWMJ-1258A1. RNAcentral's name for it is "bacterial SSU rRNA". It matches the Rfam family "Bacterial small subunit ribosomal RNA", at positions 80 to 1430 of the family's 1533-position model. The record is from RNAcentral. Lineage: Bacteria; Bacillati; Actinomycetota; Actinomycetes; Mycobacteriales; Mycobacteriaceae.
AUUCGGGGUGCUCGAGUGGCGAACGGGUGAGUAACACGUGGGUGAUCUGCCCUGCACUUUGGGAUAAGCCUGGGAAACUGGGUCUAAUACCGAAUAGGACUCCGGACUGCAUGGUCUGGGGUGGAAAGCUUUUGCGGUGUGGGAUGGGCCCGCGGCCUAUCAGCUUGUUGGUGGGGUGAUGGCCUACCAAGGCGACGACGGGUAGCCGGCCUGAGAGGGUGACCGGCCACACUGGGACUGAGAUACGGCCCAGACUCCUACGGGAGGCAGCAGUGGGGAAUAUUGCACAAUGGGCGCAAGCCUGAUGCAGCGACGCCGCGUGAGGGAUGACGGCCUUUCGGGUUGUAAACCUCUUUCAGCACAGACGAAGCGCGAGUGACGGUAUGUGCAGAAGAAGGACCGGCCAACUACGUGCCAGCAGCCGCGGUAAUACGUAGGGUCCGAGCGUUGUCCGGAAUUACUGGGCGUAAAGAGCUCGUAGGUGGUUUGUCGCGUUGUUCGUGAAAACUCACAGCUUAACUGUGGGCGUGCGGGCGAUACGGGCAGACUGGAGUACUGCAGGGGAGACUGGAAUUCCUGGUGUAGCGGUGGAAUGCGCAGAUAUCAGGAGGAACACCGGUGGCGAAGGCGGGUCUCUGGGCAGUAACUGACGCUGAGGAGCGAAAGCGUGGGGAGCGAACAGGAUUAGAUACCCUGGUAGUCCACGCCGUAAACGGUGGGUACUAGGUGUGGGUUUCCUUCCUUGGGAUCCGUGCCGUAGCUAACGCAUUAAGUACCCCGCCUGGGGAGUACGGCCGCAAGGCUAAAACUCAAAGGAAUUGACGGGGGCCCGCACAAGCGGCGGAGCAUGUGGAUUAAUUCGAUGCAACGCGAAGAACCUUACCUGGGUUUGACAUGCACAGGACGCCGGCAGAGAUGUCGGUUCCCUUGUGGCCUGUGUGCAGGUGGUGCAUGGCUGUCGUCAGCUCGUGUCGUGAGAUGUUGGGUUAAGUCCCGCAACGAGCGCAACCCUUGUCUCAUGUUGCCAGCACGUUAUGGUGGGGACUCGUGAGAGACUGCCGGGGUCAACUCGGAGGAAGGUGGGGAUUGACGUCAAGUCAUCAUGCCCCUUAUGUCCAGGGCUUCACACAUGCUACAAUGGCCGGUACAAAGGGCUGCGAUGCCGUGAGGUGGAGCGAAUCCUUUCAAAGCCGGUCUCAGUUCGGAUCGGGGUCUGCAACUCGACCCCGUGAAGUCGGAGUCGCUAGUAAUCGCACAUCAGCAACGCUGCGGUGAAUACGUUCCCGGGCCUUGUACACACCGCCCGUCACGUCAUGAAAGUCGGUAACACCCGAAGCCGG